ACGGCAGGAUCUGGUACGAUGGCGUCCGUGCCUUCGGCUGGAGCCUGUAAGACUCUGAUACUAAACAUAGUGAAAGUAAAGAUGUAAAUGGGCCUUGCAGAUAAGCUUCGCUUCGGUAAACUAGGAAUGCAAACCAACCAACCGAAACCCCAAACCAACCAAAAAAAAACCCAAAAAACAAUCAUCCACUCACUUUAAUGGGAUCUGGGGAGUUCAAAUGUUUGGGGCCCCGUCCGUGAGCUGCUCAUUUCCCUCCUUGUGCAGUUCCCCAAACCACUUACUGGACCGAUCGCAGCUUACAGGUUCAAUGAGUCCAACGACAACAACAGAAAUAUUACAAAUACGCCUGUAUCUCACCGUCUGCGAUUGCCUUUGGUCCAGAAACUACUGCAAGUACUGAAGUAAGUACUGAAACUUCCCAUAAGGAAAAAACCCGAAAUGCCCCAGGAAUAUUUGACUGUACCUGCUGGUUCUGUCUCUGGCAAACGAUACCCUCAUGCAUUAAUGGAAACUAGCGCUUUCUCUACCUCUGCCGUUGCCCUGACGCAGGGGUGAGAAGCAUGCUGCAUCGCCACGACUGUGGCAGCAUCAAGCAGCCGCGCACGGCCGCUCCUCGCGUGCUCCACACCCUGGCCGGCUUGGUGGGCCUCUGCCGAACGUGCACCCGUUUAUCCGCGCCUUGCCUGGGCGGGGGAGUCCCGCGGUGGGUGCAGUAUUGUAGGCCGGGUCUAAGGAGUGCUGGAUAAAGGCGGGUGCUGUGGGGACGGUUUUCAAAGAACAGUGCAAUGACGUUUUACCUGACUUCAGCAGUGGUUUAGCAGUCUCACGCCUUUUGUGCCUUAGAUUUGCCUUCCACAAUAUGGAAUGCGUGGUAAUUAUCCUUACAAAUGAGCUGUGAUGGUUUGAAAGCUUCUGUUGCCGUUUGGAAUCGGUGUACAUCUGCCCUUAAACAAGGUGAAAAUUUGGUGUGGUAACUCUGAGGGCUGAAUUGCUAUUUUUUCCUGCAAUGCUGUAUCCUCUGCAAUUAGAUAACAGCUUAAAAUAUGAUUACUGCUUUUUUAUGUAUCACUGUGUAUAUUAUUAGCAUGUCUGUUUCCUUAAUCUCUCUGCUGUAUCUGGUAUUUUAGUCAUUAAACAAAUCUUAGGGUUGAUGUGUAGAAGAUUUUUAAAAUAAUUAUUUAUUUGCUUAUGAAAUCCUUCGAUGGAGGCAUCUUUUCUAUGAGCUUUGCGAUAACUACUUCCUACGUGGAAUCUCGGACCUGUGUUGUGUAUAUUCACCCAUACGUUCAUCCAGACCUCUUGAACUUUGACUAGCACACACAGAGCCUGCACUCUGAAUGCACAAACACAAUAAAACUCUCAAUUGAGAGCUAAUUUGAUGUCAGCUGAAUAUUCAGCUAGUACCCUGGACCUACUGGUAAUCGAAUACCUGAAACAUCUUGUGCAGAGUGAGAAUUUCCAUUUCUCAGAAGGUACGUUUUUCUCCCAUUCCCAGCGGAGGUUUUCACCGUCACUUUAUCUGAACUCCCUUAAAGCUGAUAGUCAGUUUGGAGCUUCGCUAGGACAUUCUCUCGGGUAGAGGAGUCGUCUUAAUGUGACGGUUAUGCUAGUAAAGGGAAAAUACUACUCUAUAAGUAGUUUUGUACAUGAGAGAGGUUAUCUGGCAGAAGUUUCCUUACCCAUACAGUCGGCAGCAGGAUUCUUUCCUUCCUUCCAACAGAGACGAAACCGGCAGCUGGAUGGGUUUUAACGGUGGGGCAGCAGGGGAAUCUGAGCACCUCUCUAGGCUGUACCUGCCCUCCCGAGGGGGCUCUGCUGUACCAGGACAUAGUCACAGGUUCCCAUGCUGUGUAAUGCCAUGAGAGCAAGACUGGCAUUGUCAUCAAUCUGCAUGGCUGAAACUGGUGUGCGACAUGAAGGUUGCAGCUCUGAUAUACUGAUAUACUGAUAUAGUAUACACUGGCAUGAGCGCGGUAUAGCUGGCGUGGCCAAUCCGAGUCGUAAGGCCAGAUUCUCUGUGAUUUUCCAGCUCUCUCAUGUCUCCCAUGUUCUUCAAAGAGGCUGAAAAGCAGUUAAAGGGUUUUCUGAGAUUUCUUUCAGAGUGUGAAUGUUCUGACGCAUCACAUCAGGAGAUGGUAAAAAACACAUCAAGGCAGACAGAACGUACAGCUAGUCUCACUAUGCCUAAUAUGCCAUUACCUACGGAACCUAGCCUGCCCUACCCUAUGGGAGGGUCAAGGACGAUGGACGUCCUGCAAGAGCAAAAUGAGAACUUCAAAAUCAUAAGAGCAUGUCUAGAGUGCCUAUUCCUCUGCUAGCCCAGGCAGAAAUCCAGCAGAGUUUGACAUUUAUGUCCAUUACAUGUAGUUUAUGUCCAUUAUGUAUAGCGUAUGUUUUUUCCCACCACCUUUGCAGUGCAACCACUUUGGGAUUGGAGUGAUGCAAUACUCAGUACCACUACUAAAAAAACUUAGGGAAUGAUGUUAACAAUAUAACUUUCAGCUCUAGAAAGGGAGGAAACCUAAGUAAGCAGACUACAAAGAAAGCGUACCCAGUCUCUGCUAAAUUUCAGUACUUUGUGAUGAAAAAAACCUCAGAAAGGUCUUGGUUUCCAAGCCUUUGCUGUGUCUCUCUCACUCUUUGUCAAUGGCAGCUCUGACUCGGUAAUCCGUUUUCACUGCCAUCAUCUGCUGAGGUUAUGUGCCUUCUUCCCCAAGACAAACUGCAGCCAUGUGAAGCCAGCAAAAGGCUCCGACAGUAUCAAGAAUAUUUUCCCCAAGAUUAAGGACAAUAUUGAUGUAAAUGUUGCCAUAUUGACUUCCCUGAACCUUCUGGAGUGCUGAGUGAUUUUCCUGCAUGGGUAAUGGAAGUAGCAUGCUCUAUAUACACAGUGCAAGAAGGAUAGUGCUUUUAACUUAUACUUAGGACUCUGUAUUUUAAACCUAAGUAAAAUUUAUUAACUAGUUACCUCUAUCUAAAUAUAUAGAAAGCCAUUCACAUUAUUUUACAUAACAUAUGGAAACAAUUUAAUUGUCUCUGUUGGUUAAUAUGCACAUGUAUAAAACUGACACUGCUCGCGCUGGGAUUGUUGCAGUGAGCUCUACAUAAACUCCUGCUCAGACAGGGCCACUUGGAUCUUCUUUGGCAAUGCUGUCUAGAACUAUAUAUAGAUUGAUCUUUGUGCUAAGACAGGUGCUGACAGAUUCAAUAAGAACAAUGGAGAAAGAAAAAGAAAUGUUAUAGCUAGUAAGACUCAAUGGAGCUACCCUUGUUUAUGCUGGCUAAAGAUCUUGCCACCUAAUUAACACAAAGACAACCAAAAAUUUUGUUAUGGAAAAAAUCAAAAGAAAAAUCAGGCCCUUACCUCUGAUAAAUCCUUGCUGCUUACACCAGCUGCGGACACGCCAGGCCUGUGCUAACCUACAUCUGAAAGCUAUGGACACAUCUUGUGGUGGCCCAGGAGCAGUGCAAACCUCAGUGGUUUCCAGAGCAGGUUAAAAGCCCCUAACAGAAUUUGUUGCUUUCAAGCUCUCACUCACAUCAGCAUGGUGUAACCAGAGCUCUGCUCAACACUACUGCUCUUUUCCCACUGGUGCUUCUGAAGGUGUCUUCAAAGCGCAGUUCCCCGCAGCCACAGAGGGAGUGUUUGGAGCAGCCCAGCAUCUGGCUUUAGGGCCCAUCUUUAAUUCACAUCGGCAACUGUAAAGCUGCCCAUCGACAACACUGAGUUACGGCUCUAUUUGUAAGAGCAGCAGUCACACAGGAGCAGGUCUUGGCCCCUUUUCUCAGAAGGGUACACUCAUCUCUAAGCUGUCUGGAAGCUCUGGAUUUAUGUAGAGGCAUUACGCCUAAAGGACGUGGGGUCUCUGAUUUGGUAUACCCUUCCAGCUAGCGUUACCUAAAAUGGAGUUUCUCCUCACUUUCUAUUCUCUUUAUUGAACCAAAUUUCUGUUUAUAGUCACAUUUGCUUUCUAUGCCAUGCUGUCUGUCACUUGUGUUGAAUAUGGGCUUUGCACACAUGCCAAAUAGUUUGCUACUUGGCAAGAGUUCACUGGCAAGAGAAUUUGCUUCUACGCAUAGUAAUAGGCAUGUUUGGCUAAUAGGCUCUUUGUCUGAAAGCCUUUUGCAUAUUCAGAGCUGCUCAUUUGUCAUGCUAGCCUGACCUAGGCAGCAAAUAUUUAAAAAGAGUCAUAAAUAUGCCCUGUUCUUACUAGAAUGCCAACUGAAGCGUUAGCUGUUUCAUGAUAGUCAUCUGCUGCUCUUUAACUUCCCAAGCGUUGUCCAACCACACUUAUUUCUAGAACAGUUCUCCUGUCCAUCACUGAUAUUUUUUUUUCGCAUUUGGAAUUGCCUUACUCCACUGUCUGUGUUCUUUCAGAGCACAUUUAAUAUUGAAAUGGACAACUCUGAUGAUGUAGUGGUUUUGGGAUGGCAAAUUUGAUAACCUGGUAUAUGCGAAGCUGACAGCUUACGGUCCGUUCUGGUUUUACAAUUAAAAGAAGGUUUUUCUCCCCGUUUCCUGGGUGUGUGUACCAGGGCCUUUGUCACGAUCCACUGUUGGGCUGAACAGUUUGGCAGAGGUUAAACCCCCUUGCUUUCCAACCGACCUCAGAUAAUUCUGGGAGGUUGGGGGCGGCUGGGCUUAACUUCUGAUUAACUCCAAUGUUUUACCAUGACUAGGUUCCUUUUACAUUCUCGGAAACAGAAUUAAGACUCAAAACAGAGUCAAGUGCCAAGUUGCUUUAUUUAGCCAGAAAUAGAUACAGGAGAGAAAAGCAAAGAAAGAGAAAAAAAAAAGGUGAAAAAGGGAAUGAGAGGGACGGAGGGAGGGAGCGAGCGGGACUGUUGCAAUAGCUAUCACCACGGGGGUCCGCGGCAGACUGGCCGGUCCAGGCGGUGAGUCUGGGCAUCCGAUGCAUCUUUGAAGCUGGUGGAGGGGGAGAUGUUCCAGAACGUGCCCCCGUCGUCUCUGCUGGUUUCCCCUUUUCUAAGGUUGCUCUCUUGCACAGUCAGUAACUGCUCUGCAUACCCCUGCCUCCCACUCGGCAGUGGGGCGCAUGCCCAGUACUGUUGCUAGAAGGUGCUUGAAAGUUCUAGAGGGUCCAAGCCCCCUCCAUAUGUUGCCAGUCGGCCUUGGGCCCCCCGGGCGUAUGCGCGGAGGGGAGCGCUCUGAGAUAACAGGGUGCACAUUCCUGCCGGGUUGAUCGGUGAUUAAACUGUUCCGCUCAGCUGCUGGAGCGAUCAGGCUUUAGUAGUGAAACUUGCCCGCCAACAACGUUGAGACAAGUUUCUAGUCCCUGACGGCCUUGGACUGGAAGUACCGCACCCAACUCCUGCCCCCACUUCAAUGCCGUGCUCCGUGCUUCGGGCGGCAGGCAAUACCCGCAUCGCCUGGCAUGGCUUCCGAAUUUGUGCAACAAAGCUGUGACGGAGGGAGUAGUGAAGCUCCACUGGUAACUUGUGCUGAUUGAGCUGAAAGGCCAGGAAUUUCCUUGGGCAUGUGGAGAUGGCGAGUGUCCUUAGUGUCGGGACUGCCUGGCUGGUGGUAUGAAGGUGGCUUCAGGUAUUUGUUGUAACUGGGUUUUUUUUCAUCUCUAAAGUAUAGAUUUUGUCUCAUAACUUCUUUCUUACUGUCAGUAUUUAAUAAAUUGUCUAAAGGUUGAAAGUCACUUUUUAUUUUUAAAUACUGAGACGUAUUACUUUGUUCUGCCUAGAACUAGCAGGUUUGUGGCUAUAACAAGCCAAUUUAUUGGCAGACUAGAAAUCAAUGACAUACAUAUACAGAACUUUCCCUAUUUUAAUUAGACUGUCCAGACUACUUUUUAAACAGAAGUAGGCAAAACGGUACGUUGCAGAAACACACAAAAACCUAAUUUAAAGGGAUUGGGUCAGAGAUCAAACUCUUCCAUUGUUUGCUGUGAACCCCCUUGAAACAGAAAUCCCAAAGCUAACAGUGCAGCACAGAUGACUGGUUAAUUCACACAAAGAAACAAAAUCUGCAAAAGUGUAGGUUACAGCACCAUCUAGUGCCUCUUAUCCCAGCAAUGCAGUAGAUUAAUUUAAUUUUCCACUUAAUUCAAGUAUGUAGGUGGAGAAGACAGUGUGCAUUGGCUCUUUCUACAUUCUGACAACCUAUUUUCUCUCAACUAGUGCCGAGACAGAAGGGAGCUGAGGGAUGUAAAUGAGCUUUGGCAUUUUACAUGGUGAAGAUUUUAUUAGUAUAGUUGCCAUUGGUUCCUCUUCUUUUAUCCUCUUACCAGUCACAUACUAGGGGAUAGUAGGGAAGUGGACACAGGAGCACAUAUGCUGAGAAAAUGGGAGGAAAAUACCACGAUUAAAUAGCAAACUGACCAAAUGGUGUAUUUUGGGGGGGUAGGGACAACUUUUUGGUAGCACAUAUAUUCUGUUUUGUGGGUAUGAAUGACUGUCGAGAGGGAGGUUGGUGUUUGUUUGCAACCACCGUUUGCUGAGAACUGCACCUGUAAUUAAUGUACUUGUCUCAGGUAACCAGCACCCAAACCUCGUUUUUUUUCACCCGAGGAUGACCCUCAGCAGCGCCAAGUGAAAUUCUAACCAUUGCUGUGUUUUAAUAUCCUUUACAUGACCAUCCUUUUCUGUGUUAUUUUUUUCUUCUGGAAAGGUGAUGAACGUCCUCUGACUCCAAACCAAGAGGUUAACCAACAGCAACUUUGCAAUUAGCCUCUAUUCCCAACCAGAAACUGCAAGACACAAAAGAGACAAUGUGAAUUUGGGCAUUAAACCCCGCAGGGUCUGGUGGCACGGGAGAACAUUAUUGCUGAACUGAAAUUGGACAUGUCAAAGAGAACAGCAGAACGUACAGAAUUCUGCCCUGUGAAAAAGGCCUUAUUUGGGAGAUAACAGGGCUGAGAUACUGAGGAACUGUGAAACGCUUGGGAGCACCGGGUGGGAUUAGUGAUUUGUGACAGUCUGCAAUGAAUGCCAACAGCAAUGAACGGUAAGCAUUUUAACAGGAAGGGAGAAAUCCCAGAGCCGUGGCCUGCCAGGUUUGUUUGUUUGGGUUUUUUUUAUAAAGGGGAAGGCGACGAUAAUAAAUGAUGAGGUAGAGCAUUUGUGUAAGUUGGGCAGUGCAGAGGCAGCCUCCCUGAACUGACUUUUUUGGGGGUGUAUCAACUGGGUUUGCAUCCCGUGAA
Molecule: non-coding RNA, 7172 nt
Organism: Phalacrocorax carbo (great cormorant)
Lineage: Eukaryota; Metazoa; Chordata; Aves; Suliformes; Phalacrocoracidae
Source: RefSeq, a predicted model, not a curated record